RNAcentral lists this long non-coding RNA (300 nucleotides) under Linum usitatissimum (flax). RNAcentral's name for it is "long non-coding RNA (LUSI_LNC001810)". Lineage: Eukaryota; Viridiplantae; Streptophyta; Magnoliopsida; Malpighiales; Linaceae. The record is from RNAcentral.
AAAUAAGUAAGGUAAUUAGGAUAAAAUGGCAAAUUAAUAUCUAUUGGGCCCAUUCGCCACUCUGCCCUGCCCCUAUCCCUCCUCUGCAAAUGACUCCCUCCUCCUCCUCCUCCAGAUAUCUUAAUCUUCCCUUCUUUAAUAUGAAGAAGCCAAGCACCAGCAGCCUCAUGGUAAUCACUCCCCGUAAUAUUCCCUUCCUUGCCUAGCUCCCCCCUCCCAACCUCCCAAAUUACAGAAUUACAUUUCUCUAUAUCUUCCUCCGAAUUCCUUCCUUGGCUGGAUGAGGUUCCUAUUCGACUU